GGUGCCGAUCGUUCGCUGAGGCUCCUUCACGGAAACAGGCCAGCGACCCCGAACGUCGAGAGACGCCCCGGGUCAGGACAGAUCUCCCCGGCUUAAGGGGUGAUCCCGAUUGGCUCCCGGUCCGCCGGGUUCACGCCGUGAAGUGCCAAAGGUCUUACGAGGAGGGGUGCC
RNAcentral lists this small RNA (171 nucleotides) under Nocardia brasiliensis. RNAcentral describes it as "Magnesium sequence". It matches the Rfam family "M-box riboswitch aptamer (ykoK leader)". Rfam says of the family: M-box riboswitch, also know as ykoK leader is described as a metaloregulatory RNA that sense divalent metals and function as a genetic control element of genes related to divalent metal transport in bacteria. RNAcentral also lists the same sequence under 1 other name. The record is from RNAcentral. Lineage: Bacteria; Bacillati; Actinomycetota; Actinomycetes; Mycobacteriales; Nocardiaceae.